GACGAACGCUGGCGGCGUGCUUAACACAUGCAAGUCGAACGGAAAGGCCCUGCUUGCAGGGUACUCGAGUGGCGAACGGGUGAGUAACACGUGGGUGAUCUGCCCCGCACUUCGGGAUAAGCCUGGGAAACUGGGUCUAAUACCGGAUAGGAGCCAUUUUUAGUGUGAUGGUUGGAAAGUUUUUUCGGUGUAGGAUGAGCUCGCGGCCUAUCAGCUUGUUGGUGGGGUAAUGGCCUACCAAGGCGGCGACGGGUAGCCGGCCUGAGAGGGUGGACGGCCACAUUGGGACUGAGAUACGGCCCAGACUCCUACGGGAGGCAGCAGGGGGGAAUAUUGCACAAUGGGCGCAAGCCUGAUGCAGCGACGCCGCGGGGGGGAUGACGGCCUUCGGGUUGGAAACUCCUUUCGCUAGGGACGAAGCUUUUUGUGACGGUACCUAGAUAAGAAGCACCGGCUAACUACGUG
RNAcentral lists this ribosomal RNA (465 nucleotides) under uncultured bacterium. RNAcentral's name for it is "partial 16S ribosomal RNA". It matches the Rfam family "Bacterial small subunit ribosomal RNA", at positions 28 to 507 of the family's 1533-position model. The record is from RNAcentral.